AGAUUUUGACACUUGCCAGUGCAUUCUGUGUAGUUUUGGCAAUUUACCAGUCUUUUGAGUAUAUGUUCUGUUACAAUGAAGAAAAAAAACUAGUUUCCAGAAUGAGACAAGUAUAUACUAGAGCUCAGCAGCUUUCACAAGGUAAUGACCCAUCAGAAACCACAGGGUUGUUGUCGUCUGCUCAGGAUACAACAGGAAGUAGUAAUGAAUUGUGGGAAGAAUAUCCAAUGCAGGAUUUGAGUUCUUCUACAAGUGAAGAGCAAGCUGAUAGAGAUCAGUUUUAUAACCUUCGAGUGGCACUGCCACAACAAGGAGUUUAUACAGAAAGACAUUCCAGUUUACAGAACGGUAAUAAUGAGACAAGUGACCUGCAUGUGGCAUCAACUGAUGGAGCAUGUCAUAGUUCUGGGCAUGCUCAGUCAGAUAAUAGAGAAGAAUCAUUUCCAAGUAAUAAUACAAAUCAUAUAGAAACAGAUUUGAGCAGUAUCCAUAGAUGUGCCAACCAAUCAGAAAAUCCACAAACAACACAUUGUGCCAUAAAUAGAUUACAGAC
RNAcentral lists this long non-coding RNA (553 nucleotides) under Mytilus galloprovincialis (Mediterranean mussel). Lineage: Eukaryota; Metazoa; Mollusca; Bivalvia; Mytilida; Mytilidae. The record is from RNAcentral.